AGUGAACGCUGGCGGUAGGCCUAACACAUGCAAGUCGAACGGCAGCACAGUAAGAGCUUGCUCUUACGGGUGGCGAGUGGCGGACGGGUGAGGAAUACAUCGGAAUCUACUUUUUCGUGGGGAUAACGUAGGGAAACUUACGCUAAUACCGCAUACGACCUACGGGUGAAAGCAGGGGAUCUUCGGACCUUGCGCGAUUGAAUGAGCCGAUGUCGGAUUAGCUAGUUGGCGGGGUAAAGGCCCACCAAGGCGACGAUCCGUAGCUGGUCUGAGAGGAUGAUCAGCCACAUUGGACCUGAGACACGGUCCAGACGCCUACGGGGGGCAGCAGUGGGAAAUAUUGGACAAUGGGCGCAAGCCUGAUCCAGCCAUACCGCGUGGGUGAAGAAGGCCUUCGGGUUGUAAGCCCUUUUGUUGGGAAAGAAAAGCAGCAGGUUAAUACCCCGCUGUUCUGACGGUACCCAAAGAAUAAGCACCGGCUAACUUCGUG
Molecule: ribosomal RNA, 490 nt
Filed under: uncultured bacterium
Lineage: Bacteria
Description: partial 16S ribosomal RNA
Rfam family: Bacterial small subunit ribosomal RNA
Source: RNAcentral